UGGGUUCACUGAAGCUGAUCUUGACCGAGAGUUCUUCCUUGGUGUUUGGAGGAUGGCUGGUUUCUUGUCUGAGAAUCGCCCCGUGCAAACCUUGAGGGCGAUUUUGACAAGGCUUGAGCAGGCUUAUUGUGGCAGCAUUGGUUUUGAGUACAUGCACAUUUCUGAUCGUGAUAAAUGUAAUUGGUUGAGAGAACGAAUUGAAACUCCUACACCCAGGGAGUACAACCGCGAACGACGUGAAGUUAUUCUUGACCGGUUGAUGUGGAGUACUCAGUUUGAGAACUUCUUAGCCACCAAGUGGGUGGCAG
Molecule: unclassified non-coding RNA, 308 nt
Filed under: Hevea brasiliensis (rubber tree)
Lineage: Eukaryota; Viridiplantae; Streptophyta; Magnoliopsida; Malpighiales; Euphorbiaceae
Source: RNAcentral